This 867-nucleotide long non-coding RNA is filed under the name Homo sapiens (human). RNAcentral describes it as "long intergenic non-protein coding RNA 2669". The record is from RNAcentral. Lineage: Eukaryota; Metazoa; Chordata; Mammalia; Primates; Hominidae.
ACUGUUAUACUUGGAGGCCAUGUCACCUGAGAGUCAAUGGGCAACGAUCAAAUUUCACCUUGAGCAGAUUCUUUUGUUUGCUUUUUAGUCACAAAUAGCUUGGCCCUAAGUGGUGGCUCCCAUUCUUGUAAGAUGCGUUUAUUCAUCGUGUAAUCACCAGUUCCCUGUAGUGGGGGCGUGGAUGGAGUGUCAGAGGCUCCUGCUGGUCUUUAGGGUGUCUGGCCUCCAGGAAUCCUAGAGUAAAUUGGGAACUACAGCACUCGAUGUUAGAGUUGUCGUGAAGAUUAAAGAAGGUGACGACUGGACAACUCCCAGCCCAAUACCUGAAACUGUACCAGCACCCAGUGAGCACUGCUAUUCCUGUGACUGCUGCACAUUUGCCUUAUCUCAGCAGUAUGCCUGUGUCACUUUUUUGUGAAGAGAACAUCCCGUGUACUAUCGUGUAGAAGUUGUAGUAGACGCUGUGGUCUUUCCAACAACAAACAAACUGCUGGGACAGGACCCAGGAGGUUCCGGAGGAUCAGGAGGUCCACCUGGGAGAAGAGCUGAUCGGCUAGUAGGAGAGCUGGAAAAGCAACAGACACCUACUUAGUCCCUUCCCUGGGGCCCGGCUCCAGUCUGAGCUGUCACGCCACAGCAAAGGCAUCACUUCAGGACAGCAAAGCCCCUGUCUCCCUCCCUUCCAGCUCCUCAGACUUCACCCUGGUAACACGUUUGUUUAAAAAACAUAUUUUUCCCCCUUGUAAAGAAUCUAGGAUACAAGGGGUCAGCCCAGCAGUUUAGGUAUCAAGAAGAAACUGCUCUCGGAGCUAAAGUAAGAAACAGUGCCUGUCUAUAGCGCAAAUAAAGAGUUGGAACAAGAUAAAA